This is a long non-coding RNA of Athene cunicularia (burrowing owl), 1705 nucleotides long. RefSeq lists it as uncharacterized. The transcript has 6 exons. NCBI's taxonomy places the organism in Eukaryota, Metazoa, Chordata, Aves, Strigiformes, Strigidae. The record is from RefSeq and is a predicted model, not a curated record.
ACAAGAGCUGUAGGCGAACCCCCAGGCUCCGACCUGGAGUAAGUGGCUGAUGUAGAAACGAAACCAGCAUCUCUGCAGCCACCUCUUUAAAAGAAAGAAAAAGGGUAUCUAUUCUAAGCUGUAGUAAUGCAGAGAGGUCUGCUGCAGGAUGACUCUGCCGUAUGAGCAGCUGUUGGUUCAGAAAGCAAAAGGAAUUAAAAAAAAAAAAAAGGUGUGAAGCCAAACAGCUAAUGAUAUCAGUGAAAGGGUCCUGUGAGUCUUUACUUUCAAGAAGACACAGCAGGGUCUGCCCACUCUCCCACCCCAAGGACUGAUACCAUUACUCUGUGGCUUUGCACAGGCUUGUUUGUGUAAUUAACAGGCUACAGAUUGACUUGGUUUAGCCCAAACUAGGUUUGAGCGGGUGUAAUGCUACUGUGGCUUCAGCCAUCAAAGCAGGGCACAGAACAGGUUUAGUAAAGGGCAGGAUUUUUACCUUCAGUUGGAUUUCUUGCGCUUGUUUCUCUAUUUUUUGUUCCAACAGAGUGAUUUUGUGCAUCAUGGAGGACACAAGCUCCAUGUCACUGCGAGCUGCUCCUGAAACCACAAAUAGGUGUUACCGCUCUAAAAUGGUGAUCGGUGGUGGAGGUUUAUCUGUGACAUAAAGGACCUCACAGAAGAAUUCCUGUUCUACUACAGCAAUGUUGUCCCCCUUGAGUGGCAGCAGAGACUGCCUUGCACUGGAUUCUUUGUCCUAGGAGACAGUCUGUCAUCUUCUGAGAAGAGGCACAAAGAGCAUGGCAGAAAGAAAACAGCUGCAGAAAGCAACUCUUCUCUUAAAACUGAGGAAACGUAAACGCGAUACAAACCUGUGCGGGACGUGACUGACCGAUAUCGCUGGUAUCUGCUGGGGAGCGAUGCCGGCCGGGAGGCAGCAGCAAUGCUUUCCCUCACCAAGGGAUACCACACACUCGUUUUGCCUCGCUGGUGCUCUGAACACCCAGCAUUUCGUUUGCCACCAUCCAGAGCUCCUUCUCUGCAUGUCCCAUGUCCCACCCGCCACUGCCAUGCUGCCCCACUCUCUGGAGAGCUCAGCCUCAUCAGUUGGAGAGGAGCAGAAUAGGCUGAUUUUUAGCACCUUUUGCGGGGUGUUCUCUGUCCCCAUGAGACUUUUAUUUUGACACUUCUAUGAAAUGCAAAUUCACAAGAUUGGGUGAAGCUUUGCUGCAUAGAAACCUUCAGCUCCGUGUGGAGGCUGGUGACAGGCUUGCUGCGCUGUGAUGCACUUCCCCAACAUAAUAAGACAACAGCAUCAGCAUCGUCUGCGACUUCCCCAAAUUGUCCUGGAUUCAAAACAACCCUUUGGGGCGGCGGGGCUGGUGCAGGGGAGAAAGAUGUGAUUGGUGGGACAGGGCCAGCACUGCGCUUAAAGCCUCCAGCUGCCGUUGCUGCGAGCAGAUGGGGAAGUGUCACAGCACACUGUGAGCCCAGCCCUGACCAUGCAGCCCCUCCAGCGUGCCCACCUGCUCCUCCUGCUCACCCUGCUUGUCCUCUGCAUGCCCCUCGGCCGGGCAAAGGAGGGGGAGGGGGUCACGGCCACCUCCCACACCACUGCAAGCCAGAUCGUAAGCAGCCUGAGCCCUCCCUGUGGCAGCCCACUCCUCUCCCUCGCCUUGGGGCUGGCUGUGGCUUUCUUCCUGCGGCUGCGCUGACCCCCUACGCCCCC